This 649-nucleotide ribosomal RNA is filed under the name Pseudomonas koreensis. Its description in RNAcentral is "bacterial SSU rRNA". It matches the Rfam family "Bacterial small subunit ribosomal RNA", at positions 48 to 695 of the family's 1533-position model. The record is from RNAcentral. Lineage: Bacteria; Pseudomonadati; Pseudomonadota; Gammaproteobacteria; Pseudomonadales; Pseudomonadaceae.
GCCACACUGCAGUCGAGCGGAGAAAGGAGCUUGCUCCUGGAUUCAGCGGCGGACGGGUGAGUAAUGCCUAGGAAUCUGCCUGGUAGUGGGGGACAACGUUUCGAAAGGAACGCUAAUACCGCAUACGUCCUACGGGAGAAAGCAGGGGACCUUCGGGCCUUGCGCUAUCAGAUGAGCCUAGGUCGGAUUAGCUAGUUGGUGAGGUAAUGGCUCACCAAGGCGACGAUCCGUAACUGGUCUGAGAGGAUGAUCAGUCACACUGGAACUGAGACACGGUCCAGACUCCUACGGGAGGCAGCAGUGGGGAAUAUUGGACAAUGGGCGAAAGCCUGAUCCAGCCAUGCCGCGUGUGUGAAGAAGGUCUUCGGAUUGUAAAGCACUUUAAGUUGGGAGGAAGGGUUGUAGAUUAAUACUCUGCAAUUUUGACGUUACCGACAGAAUAAGCACCGGCUAACUCUGUGCCAGCAGCCGCGGUAAUACAGAGGGUGCAAGCGUUAAUCGGAAUUACUGGGCGUAAAGCGCGCGUAGGUGGUUCGUUAAGUUGGAUGUGAAAUCCCCGGGCUCAACCUGGGAACUGCAUCCAAAACUGGCGAGCUAGAGUAUGGUAGAGGGUGGUGGAAUUUCCUGUGUAGCGGUGAAAUGCGUAGAU